Molecule: long non-coding RNA, 2301 nt
Organism: Chelonia mydas (Green sea turtle)
Lineage: Eukaryota; Metazoa; Chordata; Testudines; Cheloniidae
Exons: 3
Source: RefSeq, a predicted model, not a curated record
CGCGGAGGCGCAGGGGCCUGCGCUGCUGCCCCGGGCACUCCUAGCCCUUUCCCAGCCAGAGCAGCGGAGGGAGACGGGGCGAGCUGGCCGCGAAUGGCCGCAGGGGAAGGUGGCGCGGAGCACCUGUCAGCUGCCAGAUGUAGCAUAAGGCAUCAGAAUGCAGAGCAGGGAGAUGGUCACUCCUGUCCUCCUGAUACUCCCACGCCUGCUGGUGCCCAGGCAGCAGGAAGGAAGGAGGAAACUGCCUGACUUGAAUGCAAAAGAAGCUGGUCCACAGAGGGAUGACAAUGUACUCUUGUUACAGAUUACUCCAUCAGCUCAAGCAGCAGAGGUCUGUGCAGUGGAUCCAAAGAUUCCAACUCUGCUGAUGAUCCAUGUGGGUGUCAGUCUGAUGCCACAUGAUGGAAUUUCUGUUCUUCAGUUCAUUCAGGGCAGAGGCCAGACCUGCCCUGGGGAUGAAUCAGGGCUGUGUAGUGAAGGAAGCCAUUUUCUGUAGAACCCCUGCCUCAUUUGUUGCAGAAGUUAGAUGUGUAAUGACUGAGACAGAGAAUUUCAGGAACCAAAAGGAUGGUCUCAUGGGUAAGUCACUUGAAUGCAACCCUAGACAAAGAGAUUCUACCUGUGCCACAAAGUUCCUGUGUGAUGCUGGGCAAGUCACGUAAACUGAAACUUUGACAGGUGGCCAUUAUUUGAGUGUUCCUCAUUUUCUGGGGUCCUGACUUGAGAAUCCUGGGGUCUGAUUUGCAGAAGUGCUGAGCACUCACAACUGAAACUAAAGUAAAUUGAAGGUGUGCUUUGAAUAUCUUAAGUGCUAUAAAAAUGUUAGAUACUCUGAAAAAUCAGGUUCUAGAUUUCUUAAAUUUGGCACCCAAAAUUAGUGGAUACUUUUGACAAUUUUGGCCCCAAUUUGUCUGGCCCAGGACCUCACAGGCAUUUAGGCACCUAACGCCUAUUGAUUUCAGUGGGAGUUAGGUUCAUAAAUACCUGUGAGGAACUGGGCCUCUGACAUAAUUCUCCCAUCUGUAAAAUGGGGAUAACACCCCCAUUUCACUUCACAGCAGUGCUGUGAAGGUGAAUUAAUAUUUGUGAAGUACCUGGGCCACUUUACUUCUGAAGAGAGCACCCACAUAGGAGUUUAAUUUUAAUUAAUGUGCUUUAACUGCACAUCUUUAGUUAAUUCAUCUUCACUUCUCCGAGUGCUUUCAAGUAGACUUAUCCCUCUCCCAUCCUCCCCCUUAUCCACCCUUCCCCCCCUCUCCCUGGCAUAGUUGAAGGCAGCCUGAGAGACGCCUCCUGCUCACAGCAUUCCAUCCCAUACUCCUCUGGGGGUGAAGAAACUAUUUCUGUGGCUCAAAAGCCUUCAGGGAAUUAGGACAAAGGUUUUCUGUCAAGUGUUUCAUUGUUUCAUCACUGGAGGUUUUCCUUUGCUUCUAUCUCUUUUAUGAUACCAGUCUUUUCUCUUGACUAAAGCUUUAAUGGAAGAUCAAGCUCAUAUGGAGGGCCUGAUUCUUCACUGCCUUGUACAUUUGCACCUCUCCAAAGGAACUGUAAUAUUCUACCAAAUUGGAGCAAUAGUUUUAUAGCUAUUUGGUCCAGCUGUAAAUGAGAGUGAAGGUGUACAGCAAUGGAGAAUGAGUCUCUUCUCCAAACAGAAUGUCAACUGUCUCUGUUAUUAAGCCACUUCCACCCUAGUUUGCCAAGGCUACGGAGAUUCCAAUCCUCUCUCUUCCGAUGGCCAACACCUCUCACUGUUUUUGAUUAACCUUAAGGGGGCAUAGCCAAAAUAAGUACCAGAGCUCUAUUGUUGCCUGGCCUGCUACACCUCCAGCCAGAUGUCCUGGGCAUUUGGGAUAUUUGGACAGCAGCUAUCAUCAGGAAGAGCUCCUGCUCCCCACAAAAAUGCUCAGCAUUUUGAUACAGAAUACUGAUCUGUUUUGUGCAGAAGUAUUACUACAUAAUUAAAGCUAAAUUACUCAUCCAUUCACAGGAUUGCUAAAGGCAGCAAGAUUCUCUCACUGAAAGCAGAAGGAAAGACACCUAAUAAUGCCAUUACCUUCCAAUGUUCAGUGAAUACUUUAGUUGAUACCUGAGCUGGCUCCAAAAUCAUAUUCACCAUUCCAGCAAAUGUUACACAAUGGUACACAUUACUAGCAGAUAAAGCAAAACCUUGAUCCCCAGCUGCCGGUGGCUAAAUUAAUAUCAGUAUAAAUAGGCUGAUUAUAGGACACAUUUCUGAUUAUAUGCUGUAUUUGACAUGCUGUGUAAUUUUAUAUAUUUUGCUUGUGAAGCACUGAAAGAAUA